CCUUCGGGGUGCAUUAAUAGAGAACGGGUGAGUAACACGUGGGCAAUCUGCCCUUCACUCUGGGACAAGCCCUGGAAACGGGGUCUAAUACCGGAUAACACUCCUGCCUGCAUGGGCGGGGGUUGAAAGCUCCGGCGGUGAAGGAUGAGCCCGCGGCCUAUCAGCUUGUUGGUGGGGUAAUGGCCCACCAAGGCGACGACGGGUAGCCGGCCUGAGAGGGCGACCGGCCACACUGGGACUGAGACACGGCCCAGACUCCUACGGGAGGCAGCAGUGGGGAAUAUUGCACAAUGGGCGAAAGCCUGAUGCAGCGACGCCGCGUGAGGGAUGACGGCCUUCGGGUUGUAAACCUCUUUCAGCAGGGAAGAAGCGAAAGUGACGGUACCUGCAGAAGAAGCGCCGGCUAACUACGUGCCAGCAGCCGCGGUAAUACGUAGGGCGCAAGCGUUGUCCGGAAUUAUUGGGCGUAAAGAGCUCGUAGGCGGCUUGUCACGUCGGAUGUGAAAGCCCGAGGCUUAACCUCGGGUCUGCAUUCGAUACGGGCUAGCUAGAGUGUGGUAGGAGAGAUCGGAAUUCCUGGUGUAGCGGUGAAAUGCNCAGAUAUCANGANNNANACCGGUGGCGAANGCGGAUCUCUGGGGCAUUACUGACNCUGAGNANCNAAAGCGUGUGGAGNGAACAGNNUANAUACCCUGGU
This 697-nucleotide ribosomal RNA is filed under the name Streptomyces sp. LK2111.2. RNAcentral's name for it is "partial 16S ribosomal RNA". It matches the Rfam family "Bacterial small subunit ribosomal RNA", at positions 77 to 791 of the family's 1533-position model. Lineage: Bacteria; Bacillati; Actinomycetota; Actinomycetes; Kitasatosporales; Streptomycetaceae. The record is from RNAcentral.